GGCCGGAUAAGGCGUUCACGCCGCAUCCGGCAACCGUGCCCAACGGCCUGAUGCGACGCUUGACGCGUCUUAUCAGGCC
Molecule: non-coding RNA, 79 nt
Filed under: uncultured Escherichia sp.
Lineage: Bacteria; Pseudomonadati; Pseudomonadota; Gammaproteobacteria; Enterobacterales; Enterobacteriaceae
Description: Nucleoid-associated noncoding RNA 4 (CssrE)
Rfam family: Nucleoid-associated noncoding RNA 4 (CssrE)
About the family: In E. coli small RNA transcribed from repeated extragenic palindromic element (REP325) called nucleoid-associated ncRNA 4 (nRNA4) collaborates HU protein in condensing the DNA. The secondary structure but not the sequence of the RNA is important in nucleoid condensation. Also identified in Shigella as CssrE.
Source: RNAcentral